This is a long non-coding RNA of Rhinichthys klamathensis goyatoka, 1628 nucleotides long. RefSeq lists it as uncharacterized. Lineage: Eukaryota; Metazoa; Chordata; Actinopteri; Cypriniformes; Leuciscidae. The transcript has 2 exons. The record is from RefSeq and is a predicted model, not a curated record.
AGUGAUUUUCAACGGGGAAGCUCCCCUCCUAUGUUAAAUUAAUGCUGCACAAAGGCAUUGUCUCAAGUUCCGUAUUUUUUUCUUGUAAUUGUGGCCUCUUAGUCUUCCUCUGCCAACAUCCCCCACCCUUCAACGCUCUACCCAUCACCCUCUUCUCCGUUCAUUGAAAUUCAGCCUGGCAUACAGGCACUGCCCCUUUCUUGGCACCAGACUCAGGGACUCGGCGACAGAGAGGAGGGGAGAAAAUUAAAAUGAAAACAUAAAUAUGUACCAAUUUCUCAGUGAGCUUGUGCCAAAACGUUUAGCCAGUUUCAUUGGAUCUAGCACAAGAUUAUCGAUAGCCAUUUUCGGUGUACAAUUUGAGCAAGUAUAACCGCAUAUGGUCUUGGCAGCCAUAACGCAGUGGGAGGCGUUCAGAAGGCUAAUUGAUUUGCCUGUUUACCUCCUGCGAUUGGACGGGCAAAAGGGUUUACGGCUGUGUCCUUUGAUCGCUAGGUAAGAUGGAAGGCCUUUUGUUGAUCUGAUUUCAUUUGUUUACCUCUUUUCUGAGUUGCAAAACAGGGAAGCAAGAUGUUCCUUUUGUGACUAAAAAAAAUGCUUGGUAUAUGAUUAUGCCAAGAGGUGGUACGGUGUGUAAACAAAUGCAGGCAAUUAAAAAUGGCAGCCUUUUAUCGAGAGACGCAGAGAGGCGUUAGCUGUUAUAGUACUUUGAGAAACAGGUUGUGUCAUGUAUGACGGAGUGUGACAUGGCAGAGAUUAUUUUAACAACUGCAAUAAUAAUGUCUCUGUGAUGUUUUUCAUAUAUUGGAGACGCAGGCUCUGUUCCAAAACCUAUUGAGCCGCCUACGUAGGGAGCGUUUUAAGGCAUCAUAGGUGCACUCCCGACUUGAACGCGGUUCCAAAAGGAAUGAAUCCUGCGGUCUGCUGUCUGACUGGUCUGUUCUGCUGUCCUUGGGGCUGAGGUAGUAGAUUGAAUAGUUGUGGAGCACGGUGCUCUCUCACUGAGAUAACUAUACAAUCUACUGUCUUUCCUAAGGCGACAGCCAAAUCAUCCACAAACAACAUGGACCCGUUUGACAUAACCACCUCACGCGCUUCCUGCAGUCUGCAGUCGUCCAAUGACUCGGAAAGGAUAUUCAAUCAUAUUACAGAAGUAAAAUGGGUUGUGAUUGAUAUUUUAUGUUGACAAGUGUGUCGUAGGAUUUGCAUUUUGGUGUCUGAACAGGGUGAGGUAGUAGGUUGUAUAGUUUGGUGGAAGGGAUCAAACCCUGUUCAGGUGAUAACUAUACAGUCUAUUGCCUUCCUUGUGGUACCAACUAUCUGCACACUAGUUGAAACUCCCUGAAGUUUAAAGUUAUCGUUACGGUUAUCGUUCUUGGUGUGAACAGGACUUUAAAGGUGCAUGUUUGUGUGCAUUGUGAAACAGGCCUAACAUUGUACCUAACAAGCCUGAACAACAUCUGUGUGUCUGAUGCAAGCUUAACAUGCUGAUCUAGCAUGACAUAUGAAGAGACAAAUCAGAUUAAAUGAGAUUUACUGAGCUCAGAUUUAUGGCUUUAUCAAUAAUUUAGCUUUUCUGUUGGCUUGUGAUCAAACACUUUUCACACAUCAUAACAGGAAAUUCAGUU